Molecule: ribosomal RNA, 408 nt
Filed under: uncultured bacterium
Lineage: Bacteria
Description: partial 16S ribosomal RNA
Rfam family: Bacterial small subunit ribosomal RNA
Source: RNAcentral
GACGAACGCUGGCGGCGUGCUUAACACAUGCAAGUCGAACGAAGUGGCGAACGGGUGAGUAACGCGUAAUCAACCUGCCCUUCAGAGGGGGACAACAGCUGGAAACGACUGCUAAUACAGCAUACUGAAGGAGGGGAUUGCGUCUGAGUAGAUCGUUGGAGGGGUAACGGCCCACCAAGGCGAGGAUCAGUAGCCGGUCUGAGGGGAGUAACGGGCACACUGGGACUGAGACACUGCCCAGACUCAGACGGGAGGCAGCAGUGGGGAAGCGGCCGCAAUGGACGAAAGUCUGACGGAGCAACGCCGCGUGAGUGAUGACGGCCUUCGGGUUGUAGGGCUCUGUUAGUCGGGACGCGGUACCGGAAUAGAAAGCCACGGCUAACUACGUGCCAGCAGCCGCGGUAAUUC